CAGUCCGUCGCCGACGUUGACGUCGCCGUAGGUGGCCGCUCCCGCUCUUCUUUUGCUUCGCUUUUCGCCCCGGUCCGGUGCCCGGCCUGCGGUCUCCUUCCAGCGCACCGUCGCGUGCGGUGGGUUUAGGUUCGGUCCGGUCUUUCGCUCGCGGCUGGCGGCGCAGUCGGGCGCGCACGGCAGCAGCAACGAUCCGGCGCCGCCCUCUCCCGCCGCCCUCCCUACUACCUCCGCCCCCCUCCCCCUCCUCCCAAGUCCCUGCUCGCCCACGGCGUCACCCCGCACGUCCUCUGCGCCCUCGAGUAGCGCCGCGCGCCCCUGGACCUCGCCCUCCGGCGGCGCCCCGCGUCGCGGUUCUGCGAGACCCUCCGCCACCGCCUGCGCGAGGCCCGCGCGCCCAUGGCGGCGUGGCGGCUAGUCACGUUCACGUUCACCUUCUUGGAGCAGUUGUCUAUGUUCCCCUUUCUUUGUAGACUAGGUCUUUGGCCGUCUGUUACAGGGAAGAAACUUCUUAAUGUACGUCAGAAGUGACUUGCACGAUUUUUAUACGUUGCAGUUGAGGAAGUCAGACUUAGCCCUUGAAGUCAAUUUUUCUUUAAUUUCGCUGGAUCGCCACUGGUCAGUAGACCCCUCAGACUACUCUUGCUUAUACCGCAACUUCAGUCGCUACUACUCUUUGGGCACUAUUCGUUUUUCGCCUUCCGACCACUAUUCCCCGUUGGUAGCGUUGCUUACCGCCUUUUGAGUUCCCGGCCGUCAAGUUCGUAGGUACUAGACAACGUCCUUAAGGAUCACGUCGUUGUCGUACAGCUAUACGACACCGUACUCUGCUACCUCGCCGCGCGGGUCCUCGCCGAGUAAAAGCUUGUUCUUACCUCCGUCAGCUACGUCUUCGAACUCGUCCUCUCCGACUACGACCUCGUCAGUACCUAUCUCGCUCUCCUUGUCGCUUCCUACUCCCUUCUUCGUUCCCGAGUCUUCUCCCUAAGCGAGUACUGGUGGGACGACUUGUUUGAGAAUGUUCUUCUAGAUAUCUUCUGCUUCGAAGAAACAGUUACCCAUCUAUUACAUGAUCUGGAGUAAAAAGAAUGGUACAAAGUAGCUAAGAAAAAUCGAUAACGUUGUACGACAACAGGUCUUCUUCUACAAACUACAUCGAAUAAUUGAAAUAUCACGAGUAAAGGUUAAGAAAUGGCCCCAAUAUAAAUAUAUGAUUAAAUAAUCUCUACAUUCAUAGUCUACGGUCUAUCCACUAGAUGACUAGAUACACUAAAGGCCUCUGUAAUCCGAAAGUCCGUAGUCAGCAGAACGCGCUUAUAGUACACGAGAUCGUAAAAGUGCCGUAACAAGGUAUACAACACUUGAACAUUACAUCUGACCUAAAUACAAGAC
Molecule: ribosomal RNA, 1392 nt
Filed under: Triticum aestivum (bread wheat)
Lineage: Eukaryota; Viridiplantae; Streptophyta; Magnoliopsida; Poales; Poaceae
Description: partial small subunit ribosomal RNA
Source: RNAcentral